This 519-nucleotide long non-coding RNA is filed under the name Carica papaya (papaya). RNAcentral describes it as "long non-coding RNA (CPAP_LNC000532)". Lineage: Eukaryota; Viridiplantae; Streptophyta; Magnoliopsida; Brassicales; Caricaceae. The record is from RNAcentral.
GUUCGUGUUUUGGUGAUUUGGCUCCGAUCAACCUGUAGGGAAAAGAAUGGUAAUCACGGUGAUAUAAAAAUUGUAUCAAACGGAGGCCGGGAAGGGCCUCAUCGGAGGCAAAAACCAAGGAGGGGCGCGGCGGCACCGUUGGGUUUCGGCUGUGUUUUCCGGCCGAUUGGCCAAAAUUUUGGCUCUGAUUUGGCCACAGGAAAACUCAGCAUUGAAAAAGGAGUCGGGAGAAUGAAAUUUACCUCGAUCAGCGGUCGGAAAACUCCCCGGUGCGGCGGCGGGUGGCGGCAGCCGGCUCCUCCAACGUCUGGUUCGUCUUCUCCGGCGAGGGCAGGCGGCUAGGGUUUUUUGUGGUCAGGUGUGGGGAUUCUAUUUAUACCCUUUUGUCUUUUGAUCACAGCCGUCCAUUUUGAUUAAAUCUGGGCCGUCCGUGCGCACGCUUAAACUGGGCCGUCCGUGCGCGCGGGGACGCAUCUGGGCCGUCCGAUCGCGCGCACGCGGAUCGCCCACGUGGCAUGU